GGCAGGCUGGAAACAGUAGCUCUUAACGGUCCCCCGCCCGUUGGUGGCAAGGCGGCUGGACUGGAAUCCCAGCAGGCGACAUGCGAGGAGGCGGGCAGCCCAGGAGGGUUGGACACGGCAAUGUGGACCUCGCCGCUUCCACAACGAUGCUGGCUACUGAUCGCGUGCACUUCCUUGCCAAAGAAAAGAAAUUAAUGUUAUGACUGGAUGAAGACAAUUGUGAAGAAACUGCACUUUGAGGUUGUCUAUCUCUGUAUUCUGAUGGAAAAGCGUGGAGUUUAGAAGCACUGCUCACUCCUUCAGUUUCUAACAAGUUUGAGACUAUGGUUAGGUGGUGAGGAAGGCAGGCUCAGCACCCAAGCCUUGGGGAGACGCAGAAAGGGCCCAUCCCAGGCACUCAGGUGGAGGUAAGCAUAGCCUUUGGGCCAUAAGACCUCAUGGCCACUGGGGUGCUGGUCUGGAAACAAGUCCUCAUCUUCCCAGAAAUGUCAUCUUUUGUCUGCAGCAGCUGGCUGGAGAAAGAUUUCAGAAAGGUGUGUGCCUGGGGCACCCAAAGGCAUGACCUUCCUUUCUCCUUGGCAUAGGCCUUACAACACUGAGGAAAGGCCAUGGUUUGGCAUUGGAGCCUUCAAUAGUUUUCACCCCUAUGGAUCGAAAAGAUUGUCCAAAUAGAAGCUUAUAUAGGAUGUUAAAAAGUAAACUGACAGGACUAUGAAAAUUGUCUCCCAACAGAGUACAGCUUUUUUUUUUUUUUUUUUUUUUUUUUUUUUCUGAGAAAAAACUCCAGGAUGGAGUACAGUGGUGUGAUCUUGGCUCACUGUAACCUCCACCUCCGGGGUUCAAGUGAUUCUUCUAUCUCAGCCACUCGAGUAGUUGGGACUACAAGUGCGUGCCACCAUGCUUGGCUAAUUUUUUGUAUUUUUAGUAGAGACAGCGUUUCACCAUGUUGUCCAGGAUGGUCUCAAUCUCCUGACCUUGUGAUCCGCCCGCGCCUGCCUCCCAAAGUGCUGGGAUUACAGGCGUGAGCCACUGUGCCCGGCCCAUUUUGUUAAAAAUACAGAAAUAUUGGUAAAACCAUUAUCAAAA
This 1086-nucleotide long non-coding RNA is filed under the name Homo sapiens (human). RNAcentral describes it as "HSALNT0341156". Lineage: Eukaryota; Metazoa; Chordata; Mammalia; Primates; Hominidae. The record is from RNAcentral.